CGAGCCGCACAGUGGCUCCCCCGUAUCGGGCCGGGUAGGAUCGGUACCUGAACCUGUAGCCGAGUCGGGGGAAGAUGAAGGGGAACGGGACGCCAUUUUUACGGUUUCCUAAGAACAUUGAGAGACAACAGCUAUGGGUGGCCAGGAUGAGGAGUCAGGAGUUCAAGCCAUCAAACAGGGCAGUACUGUGUUCUGAUCAUUUUGAGGAGGCAUAUUUUGAUAAACUGGACAAUCUGUUAGACAGAGACCAGAUGUAGUACCGACAAUCUUCAGCUUUCCUGAUCAUCUUCAAAAGAAGACAACCUGCGGAGCUACACAAAAAUCCACCAGUAGCAGGAUCAAGUCAUCAGCAGACUUCACCAGGCAAAGCAAUUACUUCAGCAGACCAUCAGUACUGCACAGCCAGCCCACAGUCAACGAAGAGAAAGCUUCACCAGACUGUGGAUGCGUUUCAGGCCUACAAAAAAAGGUUGAAGCUAGGUCAGCAGAAAACCAGGAGGUUGAGGAAGAAAGUAGAGGCCCUGCAAAACAUUGUUGACUCCAUGCAGAGUUCACACAUGAUCUCCGAGUCUUCUCCAAGAUCAGGCUGCAUCACUUGGCCAGGUCAUUCACAGCCAGUGCCACUGACAAGCUGGUCAGAAAGACACUUGACAAGCUAAUUUUGUUCAAACACCAGUAUAUUGCGAUUAUUUCGUUUUUGAAAAUGUUGAUUAAGAUAUGUACAUAUUUGAUAUAUUAUUUUUAAAUGCAAUAAUGUAAUGAUUCUGUGUUUGUAAAUCUCAAUCAAUUUAUCUGGUAUAAAGCUUUGUUUAAAUGUACAAGUAUAUUUUCAACGUAAGUCAACUUGAAUUACAAAAUAGCUGCUUUAUAUUGUGUUCAGAUUGCAGUCAUUUAGUUUUUGAAAUGUUUAAGAUAUGUACAUUUUAUAUUUUACUUUUAAAUGCAAUAGUGUAAUAUUUCUGUGCUAUUUCAUUUAGUUUUUGAAAUGUUGAAGAUAUGGACAUAUGAUUUAUAAUUUUAAAUGCAAUACUGUAAUUGUUUUAGAAAAAUUAUUUUCUAAAUCAACUUAAAAAAUUAAUUGUUAUUGAAAACUGUUUCUUUCUUUCAUAGUAUUUAAGUCUGUUUAUGUUUAGAACUAUGAAGUAAAUGCAUACUUAGCUGUUAGACCUAAGUUUAAGCUAAAUAUAGUGAGUGUAAGAGUUCUGUAUAUAGUAAAAUUAUAGAAUUGUAUAAAAAGUGAACACCAUCUUCUAUCUAUAACACUGAAGAGUUAAGGUGGGGAUCCUUUGUUAUUUAUAUAACUGAGUCAUUUGUUCCCUUCAUACAAUAUGCUCAGAGUAAGUUACAUGUAUUUAUGUAUUUAAUUACUUAAAUAUAGUACAGCAUACACCUGCAAUUACAGUAACUUAAUUAUUGAUAAUAGUAAAAAUGAAGGCAUUUAAGAUGCAGUAAGAUUCUUCUUACUGUGUUUGGGAUUUAUUAAUAUUAAUACGUUUUCUCACCUUUUUUUUUAGCACCGUUGCCUAUAUGCUUUGCACAGCAGUGAUCAGACAAAGCUACAUGUAGCUGAUCCAGUUCACACUUUCCCUUCACUUAUCCAUUGGUAUUUCUUAACCACCACUUGUACAUAAAUACAGAAAUCUGCUUGAUUUUUCAAAGGAGGGCUGUUUCAGUACUACCGUAGCAUUUUCUAUCAGCUAGCUUUGUAUUUGGUAACAUGGCAGUAUUUCUAGUAUAGUUCCUUUUAGAAGAGGUCAGUUUUAAUCUCUUAAAAUUCACAGCUUUAGGCAGGCAGGUUCACAGACUUUGAAGCUGAUGGUAAUUGGUGGGGUUACCCUUAGUAGAACGGUGCUGUAGGGCAGCAGUGUGGAGUAGUGGUUAGGGGCUCUGGACUCUUGACCGGAGGGUUGUGGGUUCAAUCCCCAGUGGAGGACACUGCUGUUGUACCCUUGAGCAAGGUACUUUACCUAGAUUGCUCCAGUAAAAACCCAACUGUAUAAAUGGGUAAUUGUAUGUAAAAAUAAUGUGAUAUCUGUAUAAUGUAAAAUAAUGUAUAAUGUGAUAUCUUGUAACAAUUGUAAGUCGCCCUGGAUAAGGGCGUCUGCUAAGAAAUAAAUAAUAAUAAUAAUAAUAAUAAUAGAACGGUGCUGUGCUUUGGCAAUAGUAACCCUGGCUCUCCCACGAUGGACAUGCAGCAGUGAAGUUGCUGGAACAUCACAUUUUUAGCUAUAUCUAGAGAACCUGUUAUCCAAAUGUGAAUAAACUUGGUGUGGUUGGGCUAAUGAAAUGAUACCCUGAAUUAGGCCACUUGUAUGUCACAGUAUGGUGAACUCUUAUCAUAGACAAGCUCACACUAGAAUCACACAUUCUUGAAUUGCCUUUCAGACAACCUAUUUAACUUGGAAAUUCAGUAGUAUCAGAUGUCACGUUUUAAAAUAAAACUAUAUGUAUGCAAUAACGUGUUUCUUUCAAAACUGCAUGUUUGAGACCCUGUGUCACUAUUGAAAGUGCAAAACGG
Long non-coding RNA from Acipenser ruthenus (sterlet), 2518 nucleotides. RefSeq lists it as uncharacterized. The record is from RefSeq and is a predicted model, not a curated record. The transcript has 3 exons. NCBI's taxonomy places the organism in Eukaryota, Metazoa, Chordata, Actinopteri, Acipenseriformes, Acipenseridae.